RNAcentral lists this ribosomal RNA (250 nucleotides) under uncultured bacterium. RNAcentral's name for it is "partial 16S ribosomal RNA". It matches the Rfam family "Bacterial small subunit ribosomal RNA", at positions 524 to 773 of the family's 1533-position model. The record is from RNAcentral.
UACGGGGGGAACGAGCGUUGUUCGGAUUUACUGGGCGUAAAGGGCACGCAGGCGGGAAGACAAGUCAGAUGUGAAACCCCGAAGCUUAACUCCGGGCCUGCAUUUGAUACUGUUUUUCUUGAGUACGGGAGAGGAUGAUAGAAUUCUUGGUGUAGCGGUGAAAUGCGUAGAUAUCAAGAGGAAUACCGGUGGCGAAGGCGGUCAUCUGGCCCGAUACUGACGCUCAGGUGCGAAGGCCGGGGGAGCAAAC